ACGGAAGGCAGCAGUAGGGAAUCUUCCACAAUGGGCGAAAGCCUGAUGGGGCAACGCCGCGUGAGUGAAGAAGGAUUUCGGUUCGUAAAACUCUGUUGCAAGGGAAGAACAAGUAGCGUAGUAACUGGCGCUACCUUGACGGUACCUUGUUAGAAAGCCACGGCUAACUACGUGCCAGCAGCCGCGGUAAUACGUAGGUGGCGAGCGUUGUCCGGAAUUAUUGGGCGUAAAGCGCGCGCAGGUGGUUUCUUAAGUCUGAUGUGAAAGCCCACGGCUCAACCGUGGAGGGUCAUUGGAAACUGGGAGACUUGAGUGCAGAAGAGGAUAGUGGAAUUCCAAGUGUAGCGGUGAAAUGCGUAGAGAUUUGGAGGAACACCAGUGGCGAAGGCGACUAUCUGGUCUGUAACUGACACUGAGGCGCGAAAGCGUGGGGAGCAAACAGGAUUAGAUACCCUGGUA
This 459-nucleotide ribosomal RNA is filed under the name uncultured Solibacillus sp. RNAcentral describes it as "partial 16S ribosomal RNA". It matches the Rfam family "Bacterial small subunit ribosomal RNA", at positions 341 to 792 of the family's 1533-position model. Lineage: Bacteria; Bacillati; Bacillota; Bacilli; Caryophanales; Caryophanaceae. The record is from RNAcentral.